RNAcentral lists this ribosomal RNA (508 nucleotides) under uncultured bacterium. RNAcentral's name for it is "bacterial SSU rRNA". It matches the Rfam family "Bacterial small subunit ribosomal RNA", at positions 975 to 1482 of the family's 1533-position model. The record is from RNAcentral.
CUGGGCUUGACAUAUAGAGGAUCGCUACAGAGAUGUGGUUUCCCUUGUGGCUUCUAUACAGGUGGUGCAUGGUUGUCGUCAGCUCGUGUCGUGAGAUGUUGGGUUAAGUCCCGCAACGAGCGCAACCCUUGUCUUAUGUUGCCAGCACGUUAUGGUGGGGACUCGUGAGAGACUGCCGGGGUCAACUCGGAGGAAGGUGGGGAUGACGUCAAAUCAUCAUGCCCCUUAUGUCCAGGGCUUCACACAUGCUACAAUGGCCGGUACAGAGGGCUGCGAUGCCGUGAGGCGGAGCGAAUCUCUUAAAGCCGGUCUCAGUUCGGAUUGGGGUCUGCAACUCGACCCCAUGAAGUCGGAGUCGCUAGUAAUCGCAGAUCAGCAACGCUGCGGUGAAUACGUUCCCGGGCCUUGUACACACCGCCCGUCACGUCAUGAAAGUCGGUAACACCCGAAGCCGGUGGCCUAACCCUUGUGGAGGGAGCCGUUNAAGGUGGGGUUGGCGAUUGGGACG